GAAGCUGACCAGACAGUCGCCGCUUCGUCGUCGUCCUUUCGGGGAGACGGGCGGAGGGGAGGAAAGUCCGGGCUCCAUAGGGCAGGGUGCCAGGUAACGCCUGGGGGGGAAAACCCACGACCAGUGCAACAGAGAGCAAACCGCCGAUGGCCCACGUAAGUGGGAUCAGGUAAGGGUGAAAGGGUGCGGUAAGAGCGCACCGCGCGGCUGGUAACAGUCCGUGGCACGGUAAACUCCACCCGGAGCAAGGCCAAAUAGGGGUUCAUAAGGUACGGCCCGUACUGAACCCGGGUAGGCUGCUUGAGCCAGUGAGCGAUUGCUGGCCUAGAUGAAUGACUGUCCACGACAGAACCCGGCUUAUCGGUCAGUUUCACCU
This 376-nucleotide RNase P RNA is filed under the name Salmonella enterica. RNAcentral describes it as "RNase P RNA component class A". It matches the Rfam family "Bacterial RNase P class A". From Rfam's summary of the family: Ribonuclease P (RNase P) is a ubiquitous endoribonuclease, found in archaea, bacteria and eukarya as well as chloroplasts and mitochondria. Its best characterised activity is the generation of mature 5'-ends of tRNAs by cleaving the 5'-leader elements of precursor-tRNAs. Cellular RNase Ps are ribonucleoproteins. The record is from RNAcentral. Lineage: Bacteria; Pseudomonadati; Pseudomonadota; Gammaproteobacteria; Enterobacterales; Enterobacteriaceae. RNAcentral also lists the same sequence under 2 other names.